UUCUUACGGAUAAGCAAAGAAAGUGGUUUGAGCCUCAGGAAACCACUUUCUUUGCUCAUCUGUAAGGA
Non-coding RNA from Macaca mulatta (Rhesus monkey), 68 nucleotides. The record is from Rfam. NCBI's taxonomy places the organism in Eukaryota, Metazoa, Chordata, Mammalia, Primates, Cercopithecidae.